RNAcentral lists this non-coding RNA (74 nucleotides) under unclassified sequences. RNAcentral's name for it is "RAGATH-18 RNA". It matches the Rfam family "RAGATH-18 RNA". From Rfam's summary of the family: Actinobacteria, Firmicutes, Fusobacteria, Thermotogae (1 example). Nearby to self-cleaving ribozyme genes The record is from Rfam by way of RNAcentral.
CUCAAGGAGUGUUAUAUCAAACGAAAGUAGUUGAGCAAUUGCAAAAUACGAAAUCGGACACAAUGAAUUGAGAA